CCCUCAGUGUCCCGCUGUCUUGUGUUAAAAGCCUCUGGCUGAAGUCGGACCGGCUCCCUCUCCGACUGCGGGCUCGUGAUGAAAGCCAGACCGAAGGAUGUGAGUCACGUUAGAAAAAGUUACCGGCCGACAGCCUUGUUUAUUUUUCCUGAGGGUUGGCGACCAGAAGCAAAGCAAUGCACUGCGUAAACCGACCAACCCCGGAGGCAUCUGCGGUUUCUGGACGGACGCUUGCGGUCGGACGCUUGGACCCGAAACGACCUGGGAGGACGUAGUGUGAUAACCUUGGACUAAGCCGGCUGGAAUCCCAGACCGCGUUUAUUUGUUUGUGGCCGGCGAUAAAAUGCUUAUCAUUAGGGUUCAUUGAUUCUUGAUGUGAGCCCUGGAGCCGAAAAGGGGGGAUUUUUGGAAGUGAAAUAUGAAACAGAUUGCAAAACUGGCAGAUAAUGACGAGCAGCUAUUUGAGAUAUUGCUAUUAGUUGAUGACAUAAGGAUUUUUCCCAUCAGUGUUAAGGGAGUGAGACUGAGGGGUCAAACUUGUUUGCAAUGCGGGGGCCACCUCACUGCUAUGGUUGAGUCGCAAUUAAUGGAACUCCCAUUUUCUGUUCAAGCCUUGUAUAAAAAAAACGGACAAAUAUUUGUAAGUUGUUUUUUGAACAAAAAUAGCAUGGUAUGUUGUCAUUUAUUGAAAAAUAUAUCUAGCUAUCGAUCGAGCUAUCUUUCUAGCAUAAUUAUUAUACUGUCUACACGUUUUGCUGCACCGUUUGUGUUCAAAUAUCCAUUUUAACAAGGCCAGCUUUAUUAGCCCAUGUUUCUUCUUGUAUGUUAGCAUAACAGUCAGUUAUUAGCCAAGACUAAUAACAAUGAACACUGGCAGCAUGUCAUGUUGAAAAACUGUAAUAUUUCGCAUCGCUAUUGUCAUUUCUUUUGUAAAUUACACUCAUCUGCCCCAAGACCUUCUCGCUAACUUUAAACUAAAUAUCAUCCCAACACAGACCUGACCAUUGAACUCAGGGUAGUAAAUUCUCUGCUUGCUAAGGGACCUUGGCGCCACGCUCCCAGAGGACCCCAGCUAUGCCUCUAAUUACGUAUCCUUCUUUAAACAGCAGCUUUUGUGUCGUAUAAAUUUGUGGGCUUAAAGGGGGGAGCGAUGGACUAUUUUGGGGGUCUCUUUGGCCCCUUUGUCGCAUGGUGUUGAAGAAGGGUGUCUGCGAGCUGUGCUGUGAAACUCAACUAAUGACUAUGAUGAGUUGUUUUUUGGAUGGGACACUUUUUACGGGGGUAUUUGAAAAAGCAAUGUUGCUAACAAAAACAGCAGGCAUGUAAAGAGUCUCCAGUAGGCUGAAUGUGUGCACUUCACGAUAAUGUGUGAUUUGAAUGUUAGAUUUAGUGCCGAUGAAUUUAAAGUUGGUGUUUAUUUGAGAGAGGUGUUUGUCUUAUGUUGAUGUUUGUGUGAGGGUGGUUUUGUUUACAUUUUUUAGGCAUUUAUUAUGAUUUAUUUUAGGCAUUUUGUAUGAUUGCUUGAUUGUUUGAGGCA
Long non-coding RNA from Syngnathus acus (greater pipefish), 1537 nucleotides. RefSeq lists it as uncharacterized. Lineage: Eukaryota; Metazoa; Chordata; Actinopteri; Syngnathiformes; Syngnathidae. The record is from RefSeq and is a predicted model, not a curated record. The transcript has 3 exons.